GUGGGGAAUAUUGCGCAAUGGGGGAAACCCUGACGCAGCGACGCCGUGUGAGGGAAGAAGGCUUUCGGGUCGUAAACCUCUGUCAGGAAGGAAGAACCUCUCAAGGCUGAACAAGCCUUGGGACUGACGGUACUUUCAAAGGAAGCACCGGCUAACUCCGUGCCAGCAGCCGCGGUAAUACGGAGGGCGCAAGCGUUAAUCGGAAUUACUGGGCGUAAAGCGUGCGUAGGCUGUUUGGUAAGUCAGGCGUGAAAGCCCUCGGCUCAACCGGGGAACUGCGUUUGAUACUGCCGGACUCGAGUCCCGGAGAGGGUGGCGGAAUUCCUGGUGUAGGAGUGAAAUCCGUAGAUAUCAGGAGGAACACCGGUGGCGAAGGCGGCCACCUGGACGGGUACUGACGCUGAGGCACGAAAGCGUGGGGAGCAAACAGGAUUAGAAACCCCGGUAGUCC
Molecule: ribosomal RNA, 451 nt
Filed under: uncultured bacterium
Lineage: Bacteria
Description: partial 16S ribosomal RNA
Rfam family: Bacterial small subunit ribosomal RNA
Source: RNAcentral